Molecule: ribosomal RNA, 445 nt
Filed under: uncultured bacterium
Lineage: Bacteria
Description: partial 16S ribosomal RNA
Rfam family: Bacterial small subunit ribosomal RNA
Source: RNAcentral
GUAAGGAAUAUUGGUCAAUGGAGGCAACUCUGAACCAGCCAUGCCGCGUGCAGGAAGACGGCCCUCUGGGUUGUAAACUGCUUUUAUCCGGGAAUAAACCUGCCUUCGUGAAGGUAGCUGAAUGUACCGGAAGAAUAAGGAUCGGCUAACUCCGUGCCAGCAGCCGCGGUAAUACGGAGGAUCCAAGCGUUAUCCGGAUUUAUUGGGUUUAAAGGGUGCGUAGGCGGCCUGUUAAGUCAGGGGUGAAAGACGGUGGCUCAACCAUCGCAGUGCCCUUGAUACUGAUGGGCUUGAAUGGACUAGAGGUAGGCGGAAUGUGACAAGUAGCGGUGAAAUGCAUAGAUAUGUCACAGAACACCGAUUGCGAAGGCAGCUUACUAUGGUCCUAUUGACGCUGAGGCACGAAAGCGUGGGGAUCGAACAGGAUUAGAUACCCGUGUAGUCC